GCGACGACGGGUAGCCGGCCUGAGAGGGUGACCGGCCACACUGGGACUAAGACACGGCCCAGACUCCUACGGGAGGCAGCAGUGGGGAAUAUUGCACAAUGGGCGAAAGCCUGAUGCAGCGACGCCGCGUGCGGGAUGACGGCCUUCGGGUUGUAAACCUCUUUCAGCAGGGACGAAGCGCGAGUGACCGUACCUGCAGAAGAAGCACCGGC
Molecule: ribosomal RNA, 212 nt
Filed under: uncultured Saccharothrix sp.
Lineage: Bacteria; Bacillati; Actinomycetota; Actinomycetes; Pseudonocardiales; Pseudonocardiaceae
Description: partial 16S ribosomal RNA
Rfam family: Bacterial small subunit ribosomal RNA
Source: RNAcentral